CAUGGCUCAGGACGAACGCUGGCGGCGUGCCUAAUACAUGCAAGUCGAACGCUUUUUCUUUCACCGGAGCUUGCUCCACCGAAAGAAAAGGAGUGGCGAACGGGUGAGUAACACGUGGGUAACCUGCCCAUCAGAAGGGGAUAACACUUGGAAACAGGUGCUAAUACCGUAUAACAAUCGAAACCGCAUGGUUUCGGUUUGAAAGGCGCUUUUGCGUCACUGAUGGAUGGACCCGCGGUGCAUUAGCUAGUUGGUGAGGUAACGGCUCACCAAGGCAACGAUGCAUAGCCGACCUGAGAGGGUGAUCGGCCACAUUGGGACUGAGACACGGCCCAAACUCCUACGGGAGGCAGCAGUAGGGAAUCUUCGGCAAUGGACGCAAGUCUGACCGAGCAACGCCGCGUGAGUGAAGAAGGUUUUCGGAUCGUAAAACUCUGUUGUUAGAGAAGAACAAGGAUGAGAGUAGAAUGUUCAUCCCUUGACGGUAUCUAACCAGAAAGCCACGGCUAACUACGUGCCAGCAGCCGCGGUAAUACGUAGGUGGCAAGCGUUGUCCGGAUUUAUUGGGCGUAAAGCGAGCGCAGGCGGUUUCUUAAGUCUGAUGUGAAAGCCCCCGGCUCAACCGGGGAGGGUCAUUGGAAACUGGGAAACUUGAGUGCAGAAGAGGAGAGUGGAAUUCCAUGUGUAGCGGUGAAAUGCGUAGAUAUAUGGAGGAACACCAGUGGCGAAGGCGGCUCUCUGGUCUGUAACUGACGCUGAGGCUCGAAAGCGUGGGGAGCAAACAGGAUUAGAUACCCUGGUAGUCCACGCCGUAAACGAUGAGUGCUAAGUGUUGGAGGGUUUCCGCCCUUCAGUGCUGCAGCUAACGCAUUAAGCACUCCGCCUGGGGAGUACGACCGCAAGGUUGAAACUCAAAGGAAUUGACGGGGGCCCGCACAAGCGGUGGAGCAUGUGGUUUAAUUCGAAGCAACGCGAAGAACCUUACCAGGUCUUGACAUCCUUUGACCACUCUAGAGAUAGAGCUUCCCCUUCGGGGGCAAAGUGACAGGUGGUGCAUGGUUGUCGUCAGCUCGUGUCGUGAGAUGUUGGGUUAAGUCCCGCAACGAGCGCAACCCUUAUUGUUAGUUGCCAUCAUUUAGUU
Molecule: ribosomal RNA, 1141 nt
Filed under: Enterococcus avium
Lineage: Bacteria; Bacillati; Bacillota; Bacilli; Lactobacillales; Enterococcaceae
Description: bacterial SSU rRNA
Rfam family: Bacterial small subunit ribosomal RNA
Source: RNAcentral